GUCGGGGUGGCUCAGCCUGGUGGAGCGUCGGACUCAUAAUCCGAAGGUCCGGGGUUCAACUCCCCGCCCCGACA
This 74-nucleotide transfer RNA is filed under the name Methanobacteriota archaeon. Its description in RNAcentral is "Euryarchaeota archaeon tRNA-Met". It matches the Rfam family "tRNA". Rfam says of the family: Transfer RNA (tRNA) molecules are approximately 80 nucleotides in length. Their secondary structure includes four short double-helical elements and three loops (D, anti-codon, and T loops). The record is from RNAcentral. Lineage: Archaea; Methanobacteriati; Methanobacteriota.